GGCUCUGGAGAAUCCCAUUCAAUUGGGUGCCGAAGGUGUAAGGCUUUGAAAGCUGAAUCUCUCAGGCAAAAGGACAGAGAAA
Molecule: non-coding RNA, 82 nt
Filed under: pig gut metagenome
Description: Glycine riboswitch
Rfam family: Glycine riboswitch aptamer
About the family: This family represents the bacterial glycine riboswitch. Glycine riboswitches usually consist of two metabolite-binding aptamers domains with similar structures in tandem. The aptamers cooperatively bind glycine to regulate the expression of downstream genes.
Source: RNAcentral